UUGUAUGUCACGAAGCUGACGAGUAGAGUUGCGUCGAAUUAACGAUGAAGGGCGUGCUAAUCUGCGAUAAGCGCCGGUAAGGUGAUAUGAACCGUUAUAACCGGCGAUACCCGAAUGGGGAAACCCAGUGUGACUCGUCACACUAUCAUUAACUGAAUCCAUAGGUUAA
Molecule: ribosomal RNA, 169 nt
Filed under: Salmonella enterica subsp. enterica serovar Cerro
Lineage: Bacteria; Pseudomonadati; Pseudomonadota; Gammaproteobacteria; Enterobacterales; Enterobacteriaceae
Description: partial 23S ribosomal RNA
Rfam family: Bacterial large subunit ribosomal RNA
Source: RNAcentral